Molecule: ribosomal RNA, 332 nt
Filed under: Olavius prodigus
Lineage: Eukaryota; Metazoa; Annelida; Clitellata; Tubificida; Naididae
Description: partial 16S ribosomal RNA
Rfam family: Bacterial large subunit ribosomal RNA (bases 72-332)
Source: RNAcentral
UAAUUAUAGACUAGAAUAAAUGAAACAAUGAGAUUUUACCUGUAUCAUAAAAUAAACUAUAAACUUAUAAAAAGAGUGAAGAAGCCUUUAUUCUCCUGUAAGACAAGAAGACCCUGCGAAACUUAAAUUACCAUCUCUAUCUCAACUAUAAAAAAUUUGACUGGGGCGAUCAGAAUACACAUAACAAUUCUAAUUAAUCAAACUAACAAGUUGCUACCACACUUAUAUAACGACCCUAAAAUGAUCAUUGAAGUCAAGCUACUCCAGGGAUAACAGACUAAUUCUCUUUUAGAGUCCAUAUUAAAAAGAAAGUUUGGCACCUCGAUGUUGGC